ACCUUCCUUGGCAACCGGCCUUGGCAACCGGCCUUGGCAACCGGCCUUGGAAACCGACCUUGGCAACCGGCCUUAGCAACCGGCCCAGAAACCACCCCUGGAAACUGUCCAUAGCAACUGCCCCGGCAACUAUCCCAGCAACUGUCCCUAGCAACCACCCUGGCAACCAUCCCAGCAACUGUCCCUAGCAACCACCCUGGCAACCAUCCCAGCAACCAUCCCAGCAACUGUCCCUAGCAACCACCCCAGCAACCAUCCCAGCAACCAUCCCUGGAAACCAUCUCUAGCAACUGCCCCUGGCAACCACCCCUGGCAACCACCCCUGUGGGUGCCAACCCCCUGUGCAGAAGAUAUUACAGACAACUGGAGAACACUGCUGGAUGAGUGGCAGAAGCCAGAGACACUUAUACACAGAAAUUCUUCUGGCAUUAUAAUCCUAAGAGAAAAUUACUCUUAAAUGGAGCUUCCCCUGCCCCUGGUUCAACCCCACGAGGCUGAGCCCCAUUUCACACGCUGCUCAGCUCAUCUGAAGCUGUUAUGUCGUGCACCUGGAACAGUCUGGGGUGAUUUUUUAAAGCCUGGCACGGAGACCAAGGGAGGUAAAGCUGAGAGGAAAUCAAUACCUGGAAAUUGCUUCAGGAUCCUAACUCUGUGUCCUUUGUCAGCGAAGGAUUGGCACUGUAAUAAGAGUAGCUGGAGUGAGAUUCUUCACCAAGAGGCAGUGGGGAGGGUGGACCUGCUUGGAUGUGAUUCCAAAAUCUGGCAGCUCCAGAUGCUGAGGGUGCCUGUGGCAGCUCGUAGCUGGCUGUAGAUUCCAUCAGGCUUGCACUGGUGUGGGCUUGGCUUUAGAGGACAAACUGAGAGCUACCCACUGCUCAUUGCUAAUGUGGAGAUCUGUGGGAGGUACUGAGUGUUGCAGACCUCUGGUUUGGGAGCCAGUGGAUGCUGACACAGCACUUGCUGUGGCAGGGAGGAGAGAUGGGGAGAAACUGGGAAGGUUCUAGGGACAAACUAAGAGAUACUCUAAAAAAAAAAUCUGUUCAUUUUGCAAAUCAAAUUUGUCAUCUGUUGUGCCAAAUCGUUAUUGAUACUAGCUGUAAAGUGAAAUUCCUCUGAGGAAUGUUGUCACACUGGCAGUAUGUUUAGACUUUGAAUGCCACUGAUACCCUGGGGGCAGCUCUGGGGCUGUGGGGAGCACAGACCUACAGACAGAGCCCCCUUGGCAUGUGCAGAGCUUUAUAUGUGUGACAGCCCUACUGAAAAAAUGACCAUGAGAACAGAGCCCACCACUGCCAGCUCAAACACACACUGCAACACCAACAGGGAUGGAUGCAAAACUGGCUCCAAACAACUCUGGGUCCUGUCAGUCCGUAGCAUCUUCAUCCAGGCAGCAGCGAGGAUCACAGACAUUUCUGCUGCAGAAGCAGCUGCAUGAACCAGAGGGAGAACCUGUGGAGCCUGGUGGAGAAGCUCCAAAAAUGACCUUUCUGGGUCCUGGGAAGACAGGAAGGUUUUGACUGAAGCUGGGACAGGAAAUCCCAGCGGCAGAAAUGCUGCUCUAUUUAUGCUAUUGCAGAACUCCUAAGCUGGGUGCACCCAACAGAGCCCCAAGGGUUUUUAGAAAUUUCUGCUGCCUCUUGCAAUUAACCCAAAGCCAUUGUUGUGGAUCUUGCUGGGUCCAGCUGUGCAUGGCAGGAAACCAAUCUAGACAGCACAAGGAAAACCCUGUCAUGAUGGAACUUUAUAGAGCCCUCUGUGAAAGCAGCUCACUUGAGAUAUGAGCACAGAUCACAGCCCUCCUAACCCAAGCU
Molecule: long non-coding RNA, 1811 nt
Organism: Cyanistes caeruleus (blue tit)
Lineage: Eukaryota; Metazoa; Chordata; Aves; Passeriformes; Paridae
Source: Ensembl